Molecule: long non-coding RNA, 642 nt
Filed under: Mus musculus (house mouse)
Lineage: Eukaryota; Metazoa; Chordata; Mammalia; Rodentia; Muridae
Description: long non-coding RNA chr2:136399061-136399703
Source: RNAcentral
CUGGGCUACCACCCCGUCCAGUGUUACCGGUAUUGUAAGAACAAGCCAUACCCAAAGUUUCCUUUCUGCCGUGGUGUCCCUGAUGAUCCACAUCUUUGACUUAGGACAGAGGAAAGCGAAAGUUGAUGAAUUCCCACUUUAUGGCUACAUGGUGUCAGAUGAAUAUGAACAGCUUUCUUCUGGAGCACUGGAGGCUGCCCGUAUUUGUGCCAACAAAUAGACCAUAAAGAAUUGUGGUGGCAAGGAUGACUUUCAUAUCCAAGUGAGGCUCCAUCUUUUCCAUGUUGUUCGUAUUAUCAAGAUGUUGUCCUGUGCUGGAUCUGACAGGCUCCAGACAGGUAUACGAUGUGUAGUGCCUUUGGGAAGCCCCAGGGCACAGUGGCCAGGGUUCAUAUUGGCCAGGUCAAGUCCAUCUUCGACAAGUUGCCAAGUAAGGAACAGGUGAUUGAGGCUCUACACAGAGUCAAGUUCAAGUUCCCUAGCCUCCAGAAGAUCCACAUCUCAAAGUGGGGCUUCACCAAGUUUAAUGCAGAUGAAUUUGAAGACAUGGUUGCUGAGAAGCGGCUCAUUCCUGAUGGCUGUGGUGUCAAAUAUAUCCCCAGUCAUGGUCCUCUGGACAAGUUCAGAGCCCUGCAUUCCUGA